Molecule: ribosomal RNA, 462 nt
Filed under: uncultured bacterium
Lineage: Bacteria
Description: bacterial SSU rRNA
Rfam family: Bacterial small subunit ribosomal RNA
Source: RNAcentral
ACUCCUACGGGAGGCAGCAGUAGGAAUAUUGGUCAAUGGGUGAGAGCCUGAACCAGCCAUGCCGCGUGCAGGAAGACGGCCUUCUGGGUUGUAAACUGCUUUUACCAGGGAUAAACGACUCUGCGGAGUUAAUUGAAGGUACCUGGAGAAUAAGCACCGGCUAACUACGUGCCAGCAGCCGCGGUAAUACGUAGGGUGCAAGCGUUGUCCGGAUUUAUUGGGUUUAAAGGUGCGUAGGCGGGCUAUUAAGUCAGUGGUGAAAUCCAGCAGCUUAACUGUUGAUGUGCCAUUGAUACUGGUAGUCUUGAGUACAGAUGAGGUAGGCGGAAUUGACAGUGUAGCGGUGAAAUGCAUAGAUAUUGUCAAGAACUCCGAUAGCGAAGGCAGCUUACUGGGCUGUAACUGACGCUGAUGCACGAAAGUGUGGGGAUCAAACAGGAUUAGAUACCCUGGUAGGCUCUG